Molecule: ribosomal RNA, 490 nt
Filed under: uncultured bacterium
Lineage: Bacteria
Description: partial 16S ribosomal RNA
Rfam family: Bacterial small subunit ribosomal RNA
Source: RNAcentral
AUUGAACGCUGGCGGCAGGCCUAACACAUGCAAGUCGAACGGUAACAGGAAGACGCUUGCUUCUUUGCUGACGAGUGGCGGACGGGUGAGUAAUGUCUGGGAAACUGCCUGAUGGAGGGGGAUAACUACUGGAAACGGUAGCUAAUACCGCAUAACGUCGCAAGACCAAAGAGGGGGUCCUUCGGGCCUCUUGCCAUCGGAUGUGCCCAGAUGGGAUUAGCUAGUAGGUGGGGUAACGGCUCACCUAGGCGACGAUCCCUAGCUGGUCUGAGAGGAUGACCAGCCACACUGGAACUGAGACACGGUCCAGACUCCUACGGGAGGCAGCAGUGGGGAAUAUUGCACAAUGGGCGCAAGCCUGAUGCAGCCAUGCCGCGUGUAUGAAGAAGGCCUUCGGGUUGUAAAGUACUUUCAGCGGGGAGGAAGGGAGUAAAGUUAAUACCUUUGCUCAUUGACGUUACCCGCAGAAGAAGCACCGGCUAACUCCGUG